RNAcentral lists this ribosomal RNA (973 nucleotides) under Verseghya thysanophora. RNAcentral describes it as "SSU rRNA". It matches the Rfam family "Bacterial small subunit ribosomal RNA", at positions 370 to 1298 of the family's 1533-position model. The record is from RNAcentral. Lineage: Eukaryota; Fungi; Ascomycota; Lecanoromycetes; Lecanorales; Lecanoraceae.
AAUAGCCUAACGGCUGAACCAGCAACUUGGAGGAAUGUAUAGCAAUAGCUAAUUGUAUCAAUAUAUAGUUGAUGCAAUAUCGACUCUGUCGAAUAAAAUUCUAGGUAGAAUUAUGAUAAUGACAUUGUCUACCUAUGUGUCUUGACCAAAUUACGUGCCAGCAGUCGCGGUAAUACGUAGAAGACUAGUGUUAUUCAUCUUUAAUAGGUUUAAAGGGUACCUAGACGGUAAAUCAAGCCUUCAAGGGACUAAUUUACUAGAGUUACUUGUGAGGGGGUAUUAAAGUACUGCUGGUGUAGAGAUGAAAUUCUGUCAUACCUAUCUGUAAUAGAAUAAUGGCACAGGUAUAGGCGAAAGCAUCCCCUUAUGUGAUAACUGACGUUGAAGGACGAAGGCUUUGUGUCGCGAACAGGAUUAGAUACCCCAGUAGUCAAAGCAGAAAAUGAUGAGUGUCAUAGAUUAGACAUAUAAUAGUUUAUUCUAUAAAUGAAAGUGUAAGCAUUCCACCUCAAGAGUAAUUUGGCAACAUUGGAACUGAAAUCAUUAGACCGUUUCUGAAACCAGUAGUGAAGUAUGUUGUUUAAUUUGAUGAUCCGCAAAAAACCUUACCACAAUUUGAAUAUUUAUGUAUUUUUUAUAUUUCUCAUUUUUUUUAUCACUUUUUCUUAUCUCUUACACGAAACGAAAAUAAAUAAAAAAAAAACAGUAAGUUAAAUAAACAUAUUUACAAGCGUUGCACGGCUGUCUUCAGUUAAUGUCGUGAGAUUUUGGUUAGCUCCAUUAAAUUAACGUAAACCCUUACUUUAUUUUUAUAUAAAGUAGUUCUCCGCUAGAUUGGAUAAGAUAACAGGGACUAAGACAAGUCAUCAUGGCCUGAAUAUUGUGGGCUAUAGACGUGCCACAUAAACCUUACAAAAGGAUGUGAAAUUGUGAAAUUGAGCUAAUCCCGCAAAAAUGGAGAUACACUAACAAU